This 400-nucleotide ribosomal RNA is filed under the name uncultured actinobacterium WB024. RNAcentral describes it as "bacterial SSU rRNA". It matches the Rfam family "Bacterial small subunit ribosomal RNA", at positions 121 to 487 of the family's 1533-position model. The record is from RNAcentral. Lineage: Bacteria; Bacillati; Actinomycetota; Actinomycetes.
GCAACCUGCCCCGAAGACUGGGAUAACACCGGGAAACCGGUGCUAAUACCGGAUGUCUUUCAAUGAUCGCAUGAUCGAUGAAAGAAAUGUUUUUUCGCUUUGGGAGGGGCUCGCGGUCCAUCAGCUUGUUGGCGGGGUAACGGCCCACCAAGGCUACGACGGAUAGCUGGUCUGAGAGGACGAUCAGCCACACUGGAACUGAGACACGGUCCAGACUCCUACGGGAGGCAGCAGUGGGGAAUCUUGCGCAAUGGACGAAAGUCUGACGCAGCAACGCCGCGUGAGGGACGAAGGCUUUCUGAGUUGUAAACCUCUUUCGACAGGAACGAUUGUGACGGUACCUGUAGAAGGAGUUGUAAACCUCUUUCGACAGGAACGAUUGUGACGGUACCUGUAGAAG